AUGCAAACACAGCUGGAGCCACAGAUUCGAAACCUGGGUUCAUCCUCCCCUUCACCACCUAACUCCUCCUCAUCCCCAUCAUGUGUCGCUGCUCUGUCGUCUUCGUGUUCUUCAACUUAUGCAAAUUCCACAUGGGGGGCAGGCUCUGGCAGCCACUCCUCCUCUCAGGGCUGCGGGAAGGUGAUUGUGGAUGGGACUGACCUGGAAGAUUGGCCUAGUAUCCUAAGUGGGGCCAAAAUGAGUUCUGAUGGGGCAGGAGGUCCAGGGGUGUCUGAACUAGACUACCCUGGUAACAACAACAACAGUAGUGCCUCAUGGAGUGAGAGAAACAUCCAGCAGAAGGGAGGAGCAGCAGCAGCAGUAGGAGGAGGAGCAGGGAACAUGGACAAUCCUUCCCCACCUUGUUCUUCUCCCCUCUCCUCCUCAUCCUCGCUUAAUGAAUGUGUUCAGUCAAGCGCAGUUGUGUGGGGCUCCCCCACCUCCUCUCAGGUGGAGGCAGGGCUUGGAUCAGCAGCAUUUUACAAUUCCAAAGUCUCCCAUCUUCUUCCUGGGCCUCAGGAGAGCCCUGUUGGUGGAAACAGCAGUGUCCCUGGUGCCAAUUUCAGCCCCAAUAUGAACCCCUCUGCCUGGCCUGCCCUGGUGGGGCCACAACAAACUGGGGCCACAACUUCGGCUAGCAACAGCCUUCCUCUGCACUCAUCCAUUACUUCAGCUCCCUCAUUUUCUGCCAGCACCACACUCAUCACCACUCAUACUCUCUCAUCUGUGAAUCAAGCCAGUCCCCAUCAGCAGCACACUGACACAGCUGCUGGAACCAGGAGUGGAGAACAGCAACAGCACUUGGGGAACCCUGUUGGGCCCGAGCUGGGUUCAGGUGAAGGAGUACAAGGAGCUGGAGCUGGAGCUGGACCAAAUAAAGAUUGUGGUGAUGAAGGGGACAGUGGGCUUGCCGGUGUCGAAGGAGAAGAGACUGGUAACCCCUCUGGCUCCAUGUCUUCCUCCUCCGCUGCCUCCUCUUCAUGGAGAUCGAUGCCUCCAGUGUCCUCUGACCUCAGUGCAGGUGCCUCCCAGGCAGAAGGGUGGGGUGGAGGGAGUUCUGGAGCUCAGGGGCAAGAUGGGAAUGUUUGGGGAUUUAGUAGCAAGGGCGACAGUGCAGGAUGGGGAAGGGGAAAUGAUGGUGGCUCAAAUACCCCAGUGGUAUCUCAGGGAGUGAGGGAAGGAGGCAGUUCAGAAGCAGAGUGGUGUGGCACAGGGAGUGGGGUAAGUGCGGGUCAUUUAGCAAUAGGAAGUGGAAGGGGAGGAGAUGGUAGCAGCAACAGCAGCAGUAGUGGAGGCAGUGUUGGUGGCAGUGUUUUGCAGGACUCUGUCUCACCAAAGUUUGCAACUAUGACAAAAGCUUGGGACAAUCAGAAAGGGAUGGAAAGUGGGGAUGGAACAGUUGGGGAAUGGGGUGGGGGAGGAGGGCAGGGUGGAGGCACUGAAGGUGGAGGACCCUCAUCCUCUAGUGGAGGGGGUUCUAUAGCUGGAAGUGGUGGAGGAGAUAGUGGUAGCGGAGAAAAGGAGGAGAAAUCUGGACACCACCCCUCCCAUCAGUCCUCUAAUGCUGAAGUGGCCUUACUUAGCAUACUCAAUCGGUCUGACCUGGACCCCAGGGUUCUGUCUAAUACAGGCUGGGGGCAGACCCAGAUUCGACAGAAUGUGGCCUGGGACCUGGACACCACAACAGGGGUGGGAAACCGAAAUGAAAAAAGCACUACUUUGUCUUCUGCAUUCUCAUCAGCAAACAUGAACACUACCACCAGUCGUGGUCCUGGGUAUCCGUCGAACACCAGUUCAGUAACUAAUGAUCCAUCUGCUGGCAGUCAUUCAACCAGCCUAAACUCUGGUCCGGCUUCAGUGAGGGAAGGCUGGGAUGGAGGUGCUUCACAGUCUACCUGUCGUCCUCACAUGCCUAGUAGUGCUAUAAGGAAACCUGGAACGCCAGAAGAAGACAUGGAGGGCAAACAGGGAAAGGCAGCUGGAGGAUGGGGUGAUCUUCCACCUGAAAUCCAGGGCAAAAGAUGGGGGACUGAAGAACAAAAAUGGGGCGAUCACAGAGGAGGGGGGAACUGGAGAAACUUUGGAGAACAGGGUAGUGGAUGGGCAGAUGGUCCAGAAGAUAAAGGGACAGGUGGAUGGAAGGAGACUGGAAGAGGGGAGAAGGGUGCUUGGGUUGGGGAGUGGGGACAGAGAGACUCCAUACCUGGAGGAGGAUGGGGAGAUGGGCGAAGCAGAGGUGGAAACAGUUCUGAU
This is a long non-coding RNA of Sphaeramia orbicularis (orbiculate cardinalfish), 2292 nucleotides long. The record is from Ensembl. Lineage: Eukaryota; Metazoa; Chordata; Actinopteri; Kurtiformes; Apogonidae.